This 65-nucleotide transfer RNA is filed under the name Eunectes notaeus (yellow anaconda). RNAcentral's name for it is "transfer RNA-Lys". Lineage: Eukaryota; Metazoa; Chordata; Lepidosauria; Squamata; Boidae. The record is from RNAcentral.
CAUCAAGAAGCUUUUAUAGCGUCAGCCUUUUAAGCUGGAGACGAGGCGGUCAGCCUCCUCGAUGA